RNAcentral lists this unclassified non-coding RNA (353 nucleotides) under Hevea brasiliensis (rubber tree). Lineage: Eukaryota; Viridiplantae; Streptophyta; Magnoliopsida; Malpighiales; Euphorbiaceae. The record is from RNAcentral.
GAGAUGAAGAUACAAGCAAGAAGAUCAGUUGAAGCUUUUAAAAUCAGAUUUGUCAUUACAUGAUGAUUUUCCAUUAAGAUUACAUUUUGCGCGUGAGAAUCAUGAUGAGUGAAAGCUCAAGCUUGAGCUAUAUGUCUUGUCAGAAAAGCAAAAGAAGGGGUGCCGUAGAUCCUGUGCUCAAUCUUUGCCAUCCUCAAGAUAUGAAGAUGCCUUUCUUGGGAGCCAUAAGCUAACCAAGUUGAUGUAUGCCUGAGGGAAAGGGGUUCCUUUUGCUUUCCUUUCUUUGAAGGCUUGAACUUGCCAUUCUCGAUUAUAUGUCUAAAAGAGGUUUCCAUCGGACUGGUGAGGCGUUC